This 450-nucleotide ribosomal RNA is filed under the name uncultured bacterium. Its description in RNAcentral is "bacterial SSU rRNA". It matches the Rfam family "Bacterial small subunit ribosomal RNA", at positions 28 to 524 of the family's 1533-position model. The record is from RNAcentral.
AACGAACGCUGGCGGCAGGCUUAACACAUGCAAGUCGGGCGGGCCCGCAAGGGUCAGCGGCGGACGGGUUAGUAACGCGUGGGAACGUGCCCUUUGCUCUGGAAUAGCCCUGGGAAACUGGGGGUAAUACCGGAUGUGCCCUGAGGGGGAAAGGUUUAUCCGGCAAGGGAUCGGCCCGCGUCUGAUUAGGUAGUUGGUGGGGUAACGGCCCACCAAGCCGACGAUCGGUAGCUGGUUUGAGAGGAUGAUCAGCAACACUGGGACUGAGACACGGCCCAGACUCCUACGGGAGGCAGCAGUGGGGAAUCUUGGACAAUGGGGCAACCCUGAUCCAGCCAUGCCGCGUGGGUGAUGAAGGCCUUAGGGUCGUAAAGCCCUUUCGCCGGGGAAGAUAAUGACGGUACCCGGUAAAGAAGCCCCGGCUAACUCCGUGCCAGCCGCCGCGGUAAU